Long non-coding RNA from Salvelinus sp. IW2-2015, 959 nucleotides. RefSeq lists it as uncharacterized. The record is from RefSeq and is a predicted model, not a curated record. NCBI's taxonomy places the organism in Eukaryota, Metazoa, Chordata, Actinopteri, Salmoniformes, Salmonidae.
AUAAAGAAGUCUGGCUGGAUGUUCACCCAGCUCUACCACUCCUUCAUCUCCACUGUCCUCAACCCCCUGGUCUCACGUACAUCCAUCAACGGGUUCCUAGGUCGUGUCUCUGUUUGUGUUCACUGCGAAUCAGUUUCAGCAGCUGCUCCGCGUCGCUCCCGAGUGGCGAGGGGAGAGACUGCUGGACCUAGGGGUUGGGGACAGGGGAGUCACUGAGGUGAUGGGAGCCCAUUUCAGAGAAGUCUACACCACUGAGGUCUCCUCCCAUGAAGUGGCAAGCUUUUAGGUAUUGAUGAGUGGCAMCAUACUGGGUUCCAGUAUGACCUGAUCAGCUGUUUCAAUCUGCUGGACCGCUAUGACGGCCCCAUGGAUCUCCUCAGGGGCAUCCAUCGCUCGCUGGUGCCCGGCACAGGGAGACUCAUCCUGGCCACUGUCCUGCCCUUCCAGCCCUGGGUGUAGAUAGGUAGGAAGCAUCCCAGAGAGCACAUCAAAGUGACUGGGAAGAAGUGAGAGGAGCAAGUCACCAACCUGUCAAUGAGGUGUUCCAGGAGGUGGGGUUUGAGGUGGAGGCAGGGACUCGGCUGCCAUACCUGUGUGAGGGAGACACGUACAAAGAUUACUAUGUACUGGACGAUGCCGUCUUUGUCCUGAAACCUGUGGAGGAGUGAAGUCAGUUACUGUAUCUUGAAAUGCUUCUGAAUUGUCCAAAAUUUCAUCCAUUUCUUCCUUCCUUCAUCAGCACUAAUCUUAAACUGAUUAUCUUUCCAACGGGACUGAACAAGUGAGAGGUUUUUACAAUGUUGCUUUCACCCAACUUGUGUUUUCAGAUGAAUGCAGACUGAGUAGAAGAGAGGAAGCCACUUCAGACUAUUGAGAUGCAUCCUCUGAAUAUUCCUAGAGCGUCUGUGUACAGUAGAAGAUUUAAUCUUACUGGUAGGUGCUAUUAGCAACGUGGGUGU